CCUACGGGUGACAGCAGUGAGGAAUAUUGGUCAAUGGGCGAGAGCCUGAACCAGCAACGCCGCGUGAAGGAAGAAGGCUCUCGGGUUGUAAACCUCUUUUGACAGGGAAGAGCAGAAGACGGUACCUGUCGAAUAAGCCACGGCUAACCACGUGCCAGCAGCUGCGGUAAUACGUAGGUGGCAGGCGUGUUCCGGAUUUACUGGGUGUAAAGGGCGUGUAGCCGGGCUGACAAGUCAGAUGUGAAAUCCGGGGGCUCAACCCCCGAACUGCAUUUGAAACUGUUGGUCUUGAGUAUCGGGGAGGCAGGCGGAAUGUCUAGUGUAGCGGUGAAAUGCUUAGAUAUUAGGCAGAACACCAGUGGCGAAGGCAGCCUGCUGGACGACAACUGACGGUGAGGCGCGAAAGCGUGGGGAGCAAACAGGAUUAGAUACCCGAGUAGUC
This 442-nucleotide ribosomal RNA is filed under the name uncultured bacterium. RNAcentral's name for it is "partial 16S ribosomal RNA". It matches the Rfam family "Bacterial small subunit ribosomal RNA", at positions 338 to 795 of the family's 1533-position model. The record is from RNAcentral.